UACGGGAGGCAGCAGUGGGGAAUAUUGCGCAAUGGGCGAAAGCCUGACGCAGCAACGCCGCGUGAGGGAUGAAGGCCUUCGGGUUGUAAACCUCUUUUCCAGGGGAUGAGGAAGGACAGUACCCUGGAAGUAA
Molecule: ribosomal RNA, 133 nt
Filed under: uncultured bacterium
Lineage: Bacteria
Description: partial 16S ribosomal RNA
Rfam family: Bacterial small subunit ribosomal RNA
Source: RNAcentral